RNAcentral lists this ribosomal RNA (515 nucleotides) under Chilaspis israeli. RNAcentral's name for it is "eukaryotic LSU rRNA". It matches the Rfam family "Eukaryotic large subunit ribosomal RNA", at positions 666 to 1138 of the family's 3401-position model. Lineage: Eukaryota; Metazoa; Arthropoda; Insecta; Hymenoptera; Cynipidae. The record is from RNAcentral.
CCAAGGAGUCUAACAUGUCCGCGAGUCAUUGGGACCGCAAAACCUAAAGGCGAAAUGAAAGUGAAGGUCGACCUUGCGUCGACUGAGGGAGGAUGGGUUGCGUCACGAUGCAGCCCCGCACUCCCGGGGCGUCUCGUACUCAUUGCGAGUAGAGGCGCACCCAGAGCGUACACGUUGGGACCCGAAAGAUGGUGAACUAUGCCUGGCCAGGACGAAGUCAGGGGAAACCCUGAUGGAGGUCCGUAGCGAUUCUGACGUGCAAAUCGAUCGUAGGAGCUGGGUAUAGGGGCGAAAGACUAAUCGAACCAUCUAGUAGCUGGUUCCCUCCGAAGUUUCCCUCAGGAUAGCUGGCACUCGCGUGAAGCGAGUCUCAUCUGGUAAAGCGAAUGAUUAGAGGCCUUGGGGCCGAAACGACCUCAACCUAUUCUCAAACUUUAAAUGGGUGAGAUCUCUGGCUUGCUUGAACAGUGAAGCCACGAGAUUUUUCGGAUCAGAGUGCCAAGUGGGCCAAUUUU